UACAGAGGGUGCGAGCGUUAAUCGGAAUUACUGGGCGUAAAGCGUGCGUAGACGGUUAUUUAAGUCGGGUGUGAAAGCCCCGGGCUCAACCUGGGAAUUGCAUUCGAGACUGAAUAGCUAGGGUACGGUAGAGGGAAGUGGAAUUUCCGGUGUAGCGGUGAAAUGCGUAGAUAUCGGAAGGAACAUCAGUGGCGAAAGCGACUUCCUGGACCAGUACCGACGUUCAGGCACGAAAGCGUGGGGAGCAAAAGGG
RNAcentral lists this ribosomal RNA (253 nucleotides) under uncultured bacterium. RNAcentral describes it as "partial 16S ribosomal RNA". It matches the Rfam family "Bacterial small subunit ribosomal RNA", at positions 524 to 776 of the family's 1533-position model. The record is from RNAcentral.